This 467-nucleotide ribosomal RNA is filed under the name uncultured bacterium. RNAcentral describes it as "partial 16S ribosomal RNA". It matches the Rfam family "Bacterial small subunit ribosomal RNA", at positions 28 to 507 of the family's 1533-position model. The record is from RNAcentral.
GAUGAACGUUGGCGGCGUGCUUAACACAUGCAAGUCGAACGGAAAGGCCCAAGCUUGCUUGGGUACUCGAGUGGCGAACGGGUGAGUAACACGUGGGUGAUCUGCCCUGCACUUCGGGAUAAGCCUGGGAAACUGGGUCUAAUACCGGAUAGGACCACAUUUUGGAUGGUGUGGUGGAAAGUUUUUCGGUGUGGGAUGAGCUCGCGGCCUAUCAGCUUGUUGGUGGGGUAAUGGCCUACCAAGGCGUCGACGGGUAGCCGGCCUGAGAGGGUGUACGGCCACAUUGGGACUGAGAUACGGCCCAGACUCCUACGGGAGGCAGCAGUGGGGAAUAUUGCACAAUGGGCGCAAGCCUGAUGCAGCGACGCCGCGUGGGGGAUGACGGCCUUCGGGUUGUAAACUCCUUUCGCUAGGGACGAAGCGUUUUUGUGACGGUACCUGGAGAAGAAGCACCGGCUAACUACGUG